RNAcentral lists this ribosomal RNA (491 nucleotides) under uncultured fungus. RNAcentral describes it as "SSU rRNA". It matches the Rfam family "Eukaryotic small subunit ribosomal RNA", at positions 37 to 535 of the family's 1831-position model. The record is from RNAcentral. Lineage: Eukaryota; Fungi.
UCAAAGAUUAAGCCAUGCAUAUCUAAGUMUAAGCAACUAUACGGUGAAACUGCGAAUGGCUCAUUAAAUCAGUUAUCGUUUAUUUGAUAGUACUUCACUACAUGGACAACUGUGGUAAUUCUAGAGCUAAUACAUGCUAAAAACCCCGACUUCGGAAGGGGUGUAUUUAUUAGAUAAAAAACCAAUGCCUCCGGGGCUCCUUGGUGAAUCAUAAUAACCUAACGAAUCGCAUGGCCUUGAGCCGGCGAUGGUUCAUUCAAAUUUCUGCCCUAUCAACUUUCGAUGGUAGGAUAGUGGCCUACCAUGGUUUCAACGGGUAACGGGGAAUUAGGGUUCGACUCCGGAGAGGGAGCCUGAGAAACGGCUACCACAUCCAAGGAAGGCAGCAGGCGCGCAAAUUACCCAAUGCCGACACGGCGAGGUAGUGACAAUAAAUACUGAUCCAGGGCUCUUUCGGGUCUUGGAAUUGGAAUGAGUACAAUCUAAAUCCC